CAUCACCUUCAGCCUGGGCGGGAGGGGGAGAACAAUCGCCGCCUUCUCAUGCUGCUCGUCUCCACCGCUUUCUCUCCACCAUACCUUGUCUGCGCCGCGUGGUGAUGACCGGUGGCACAGCCGGCGUUGGCGGCAGUGGUCGAUCCCCUGGUCGUCGUAGCUUAUGGAAGGCCGGCACUAGCGAGGCCCCCUCCGUCCCCAUCCGCGAGUUCCACGACAGGGGACUUCGACCUCGCCUGCGUUCUCCCAGGUUCCUCGGCAUCAACCCGACCUCCCACAAGUUGGCGUUCGGAGGUUUGGCGCCCUUGCCAAUCCAUUCUCUGAUUUGUUUUAGUUUGGUGGAGAUGUAAUUGUUUGAUAGUUUUCAGUUUGUUAGAACAAAGGGUAGCAGGUAACUACAAGAUACAUUGCUUGCUGGUUUGCUACAAUAUUUGACCUGAUGGGAGAUAUGAUGAAUUCCUUGCUGGUUUGUUACGAUAUUUGGUCUGAGUGGGGACAAGAUGAAUUGCUUGUUGGUUUAUCUGAGUAUCUUUGUUGCACUAAUACUACAAACACAUGUUAUCCAUUUCUCCCUUGGUAUAUCUAUUUGGGGAAGAUUAUAGUUUGACCACUGAGUAGAAAUCAAAUGCUUAAUAUUGGAAUGUUUGCUGGAUAAGAAGGUUGAAAAACUAGACGGUGUCGUGCUCUCAUGACUUCUCUUCUUUAUGUUUGGUGUUCAAGAUACUUAUGCCACCAUGUAAAAUAUUUAUCCAAUAACUUCUCUCUUGAUGUGCAGCUAUAUCUGAACUUCUUGAUAAUGCAGUAGAUGAGGUUUGUAACAUCUUCUAACAUCUUCUAUGAAUUAGAUACUCACUGAUUUAAAUUGUGUGAUAAUACUCAAAUGUCUGAAACACGGUUUAUUCUGUUGUAAGCUGAAAAUUUGAGAUGUCACAUUCCUGUUUCUGGGAAAACCAUGCUAUUACUGCUAUCACAUUUAUUUAUUUAUUUUGUUGUAUUCGUGUAUUAUAACACGAUGCUCUGUUCAUCAGGGUGUUAAUAACUUCACUUUCUAACAAAUGCCUCAUCACUGAUGGGGGUGACAUCGAACAACAAUUCUGUGUGGUUAAUACUGUAAAUUUGAGAAAUUGAUUUGCAAGCAUGUGCCCAUUGCAAAUUUCAUGGGUACAUUAUACAUUAAGAAUUUGUAUGACCUGACAUUCACGGGUGCUAAUAUUUUCUGAAUAGGCAUGAGUGAAAAGGUGAUUGAGAAUUCUGAUGGACAGUGAUGGGGAGGUAUUUCUCAAGGUUGCUAGUUCUCUGCUUGCACUUUGGAUGACCGUGUGAAGCACUGAAUUCUGACGUCGACCUUGCCGCAGAAGUCCGCCCGCACCGCUGAUCGGCGGGUGUCGAAGAGGCCCAAAUCGCUCCCACUCUGAAGCUCAAGGAGGUUCCAAUCACCACCGGCGAAGAGGAUGAGGACAUCCUGGAUAUGUAGCCACGCAAGGUGGAUCCCUCAUCCCGUAGAAGCUGCGAGAAGACGAGCCCCAGCCAGACGACUUACCCCCGUCUCCCGCAGAUGGUUCUUCUUCCAUUGAGAUGCCCAGGCCUGACGGAUCUUGCUCGUCAUCAGCCCAGGGCCCGGUCCGCCGGAGCAGUCAGAGAGGAGUGGCGGAUGUGCAUCCUCUUAGACGCCGCCGGUCAGAGAAGGCGGGGAUGAGCGGAUUGCAGCGAGGGAAGCGGCUCGGCUCGGACCGUCCAUGGCGCUAGCACGAUAGCUUGCCUCCUCUUCCGGCAUGGCUAUUGUUUUGGUCCGCGCCGUUUCUGCCUCUACGGACACAGUCGUCGUAGGUGCCGACGAGGGAAUCAGAGGUGAGUUCCAGAGGAAGCGUCAUCACGCCCAGUGUUCUAUAAAGAAAACUAUCAUUGAUCUGAUCUAUGUUUUCUGCAUGUUAUGUGUUUGAUGAGAUUCCUCCAAGCCAGCUGUUCAGUGAGCCCCCCUAAUUCAGUUGUUUCGGUUGGUUAGAGAUUGCUUGUGAUUCACUUGUCGAUCAGUUAAUUAGAUUGAUUUUUUAGUAUGUUCAUUCAGCUUAUUCAAAUAAUCACAUUCACAGGUUUAGUUUGGUUUGGUUAUCCCAUAUAUACUUAGUAGUUCUUUUAGUCCCGUUCAUGUUGAGAAUUUCUGAAAUCAAAUGUACAAUUUGCGUAGUUAAAAGGUAUUAAGUGAUGUUUGUAUGCAUAGUUUCUGCCUAUUGUAGCUAGAAAAAUGUGACUGCAAAUUUUGUCAAUCAUUUAUAGUUCCUGCCUGUUUUCCUAACUUUUUUCUAGGAAGGAAUAACAGUAGGACAUGCAUGUGUUACUUUCCAAGACUUGUUUGAGAUAAGGACCCAAUGAGUCGUCGGAAACUUCCCCUGUCUCUGCAGCAGUAAAUGAUUGUUCAGAGUGAGAGUUUGUCUAAAAAUUGUGCAGAGUGAGGCUCUAGCAUGCUGCACACGGUGUAGACAAAGGUAUGGCAUCUUUCAUUUGUUUUUGUUUUUUGAAGUUAGCAGGCUGCGCACGUACAUCUCUAUGUGUAAUUUUGAGCCUUUGUUAGCUUGUUGAUGCAACAAGUGCCGAGGAGUGACGUGUGUGCUUACCUCAUGUUUUUAAAAGGAAAACCUUCCAUGAAACAACUUAUUUCAGUAUGUUUUUAUCUUCCCCUAUGAUUUAUAUGUAGUCAAGUUUAGCCUCUGUGCUGAAAUUGCAUAUAGUGUUAGCCUAUAAAAACAUAAGUUGUUAUGUUCACUUUCAUAAGUGAACCACAAAGAUUUCUCGCCAAAAAAAACCCAUAUGGAUUAGUAUCCCGUGGGCAAAUAAGAAAAUGCAAUUAUUUCAAGGAUUUCAGUCAUCCUUGCGGUUUCUGGAACUAUAACAACUUCCGUGUAUACUUCUAUACUGUAUUCUCUGUACUUGAGAUUUUUUUUUGUGCAAAGUAUCCAAUAUCCAUGUAUAUCUUUUUGGUUGUGCUUAUGCUCUUGAAUAAUAGAGCCAUUUUCUUGGAAAUUCACUCCCGAUUUAACUCUCUUCUUUUCUGAAUCAAUUUAACUGUGUUGGUCAUACAAUUUCCUGGGAGCAAGAGCAAAUUUAACAAGGCAAUAUAACAAAACGUGGAGCAGCUAAUGUACAUCCAAUCAACUCUCAGGGCAUUCGAGGAGGUACUGCUCUUUGACUGAACAACAUGUUCACGUUUUUCUUAUUGACGGAAGCAUGCUCACGUGGAGGCGCCCAGAGGUUGUGUGUGGGCAUGUAUGACGUUGGGAUAGUCAUAUGCUUAUUUUCUGAGAUGUCAUCCUAUCCAUGACUUUGAACAUCAGUUGUAAAUAAGAAGGGAAGUUGUAUCUAUAGCACCGGUGUUAUUUA
This is a long non-coding RNA of Triticum aestivum (bread wheat), 3375 nucleotides long. RefSeq lists it as uncharacterized. The record is from RefSeq and is a predicted model, not a curated record. The transcript has 3 exons. NCBI's taxonomy places the organism in Eukaryota, Viridiplantae, Streptophyta, Magnoliopsida, Poales, Poaceae.